This 294-nucleotide ribosomal RNA is filed under the name uncultured bacterium. RNAcentral describes it as "partial 16S ribosomal RNA". It matches the Rfam family "Bacterial small subunit ribosomal RNA", at positions 47 to 362 of the family's 1533-position model. The record is from RNAcentral.
UCAGACAUAACACAUGCAAGUCGUACGAGAGUUUUUAACUCAAGCGGCGGACGGGUGAGUAACACGUAAGAAUUUUCCUUUAGGAGGGGGACAACAACUGGAAACGGUUGCUAAUACCCCAUAUGCUUUCGAGUGAAACGGAUUUUCCGCCUAAAGAGAAGCUUGCGGGUGAUUAGCUUGUUGGUGAGGUAAUGGCUUACCAAGGCGACGAUCAGUAUCUGGUUUGAGAGGAAGAUCACACACACUGGAACUGAGACACGGUCCAGACUCCUUCGGGAGGCAGCAGUGGGGAAU